GACGAACGCUGGCGGCGUGCUUAACACAUGCAAGUCGAGCGGUAAGGCCCUUUCGGGGUACGACGAGCGGCGAACGGGUGAGUAACACGUGGGUGACCUGCCCUCAGCUCUGGGAGUAAGCCUGGGAAACCGGGUACUAAUACUGGAUAUGACUCCAUGACGCAUGUUGUGGGGUGGAAAGCCUUGUGCGGCUGAGGAUGGGCCCGCGGCCUAUCAGCUUGUUGGUGGGGUGANGGCCUACCAAGGCGACGACGGGUAGCCGGCCUGAGAGGGCGACCGGCCACACUGGGACUGAGACACGGCCCAGACUCCUACGGGA
Molecule: ribosomal RNA, 319 nt
Filed under: uncultured bacterium
Lineage: Bacteria
Description: bacterial SSU rRNA
Rfam family: Bacterial small subunit ribosomal RNA
Source: RNAcentral